AGUCGGAACCAGCCUCCCCCAAGAAUCGUGCAUAUAUACACAUCCACACGCCAGCCCAAUGCCACCCACGUGGGACCAUUGAUUUCACUACCUCCAGGCUUUCUCAGGCUAUCAAGGGAAAAGAGGCCAAUAAUGGGAAGAAAGAAACCCCCAGCCCCCCCAACUUAUGAAGAUGGAAACUGGUGAUCUAGGAUUCCCAGAAAGGGUAGAGAAAAACUCACUUAGCCUCCUAGAUUCACAGAACUAGGUAAGUACCUCCCCCAGCCCCGCUCCUUGGACCGUAAUGGAUGGGGAAGAGCGAGGAAGAAGGAAGUGGGUCUUGGUUUUACUGCUUGCUGCCUUAUCAAGAGCAGCCCUUAGGCCUGGGGCAACUACAGCUGAUGGUGGUCACACCAUGAAGAUUGUUGCUCUCUAGUCCAUUCUUGAUAAUUUAGGGUGAAUAAUACAAAACGUUUUAACUCAGGCUACGGUUGUGAGCCUACUUCUCACCUCUAUCAAGUGAAGCCAAGCGAGGUAUGAAGAGUGCCUAACAGUUUACCAACUGUCAUAUAUAUCAUACCUCAUCUAAUACAACUCUCCGAAAAGAAAGCAUUGUAAAUAUCCCCACUUGAGAAAUGAUGAAAGGAAAAUUCAGAGAAGUCACAAAAUUUUCCCAGAGUUUACCAGGUAAUCGGAAGAGGCUGGUUUCUAAUCUAGAUCUCCUGACUCCAAGUGCCCUAAACCAUGGGCACUGACUGAAGAUUUCAUCUCCCUCCCUCUUCCAUCCUUUGCUUACAUUUAAAGUGCCUAUGAGCAAUAGAAAGGUUUUUUGAGGGUUGGGUUUUCAGAGAAUUUAUAGAUUUCAAUUCUUCCUGUUCUUUCUGCUCCCAAAUUAUCAUAGAUUACAUAAAGUUGGCUUCAUAUUAUCUCUUGGGUCUUUAGAUGAAAAAAUAAAUUUUAGAAAUAUAAUAAAAAAAAAAUGGGCUUAAUGUACACUUGGGUGGGGGCAGGGGAGGAUGGGGCCAAUGGUUUUUAUGUCUCUCUGCUCUAGAAUCAAAUCCAGAUUUGGCUCUAGGGCCAAAUCUCCAGUAGAAAAGUCAAUCCUGUCUUCCAAUCAAACAAAUGAAGUCAUCUGUGCUAAUAUUUAUACAAGGGAUACAAAGAGACUACACAGUAUCACUUUGUAGAUGCUGGGAAAAGACACCACCUGUUCAUUCAAAGCCGAAGACUUCAGUUCCACCUAGAUGUUGGGGAAAUUAACAUAAACUUUUUUGAAAGAAGGGUUAGUCAUUCAAAAUAGUAACAUGCUUUCUCCUCCCUCCAAAAAACAAUCUUCAGAUAAUUAGGAUUUGAGAAGAAAGGGGUCGGUUCUCUACAUCAUGUGGCACUGUGAAGAUAUGAUAAUUAACAUCCACUGUUAAGAGUUACAAAGCAAUCCCUUUCCUAUGUUAUUCAGAAGACUUGGCUCCUUAUUCCCGAAUUAAAAUGAGGACGAAAAGACCUAACUUCCACCUUGUCUCAACAUCAGUGGGCUGCUUUCCCCACAGCCAACCACCUUUCCUAAACUCCCGACUUUUCAACCGCUAAGACCAUGGAAACAUUAAGAAUGACCCUCCUUCAUCAAACCUCAACUUCCCCUCCCACUUGCACUUCUGACCAAUGUACUCACUUCAAAGCAAGCAACAGCAUCCUGUUCAGUUACUCAGUAGGGCCUCUGUAUCUUCACCUAACACCUUCAACCCAAAGAAAACCAAAAGCCACAAAAGACCUCCAUCAUCUCCACACAGCUCCUAGUCCGGCGAUGGCACUUAUGUAACCUCUGGUUUUUGCUCUUAUUGUUUAUUUUGUCAGUUGCCAUGGGAAAGACUGGACAACUCCAUCUGCAAGGGGUAAUUACUGGCCUUCCAAACACACACACACUCACGCAGCAGAGAAGAAGUAUGUGCAGUUAAAGACUUCUUCAAGGAGACCAAGCAAAGGUUAACCAAUGUAUUACUUUGCUGCUGGCAUGCACACAGAAAGGCAGCUGUUCGUUACCAACUAUACUCCAUAUUUUCAGCUCAAGUAUUCAUAAUCGAAAUUAGUAUCUCCUCACAAGUUAAUAUUUCUCAGGCACUACAGACUAAGUGGAUCAUCUUUGCACAAAGAAGAACCAUAAAUAGAAAUUCACAAGUCUGACUUUACCGAAUGUCAAUGAGGUUAAGAGAGGCUGAGCAACUCUCAUAGGACUGAUUAAUAGUGGAGUCAAGAGUCCAGCCCAGAGCCCACAGUCUUGCUGCACUGACCAUUGCUCACGGUGCCUGACCACAGCCUGGGUCACAAGCACCGCUGGCUUCUGGUCUGAUCUCCUGACAGGCUGAAGGGACUCCAACUCUCACCCAACCCAUCCAGUCAAAGUGAGAAAAAUACAAAGCUCCUUUGGUACCAAAGUGCCUAUGAUCACAGGCCACAAUAGUAACAGUGAUCCUCUCUUUUGAUUCCAGCACAAAAUAAAUAUGCAUGUGUGACUGACAUUCAAACGAUGUGGCCUUUUCCACUUUCUUCACCAGUUUCCAUUUCCUGCAGUUAACUCCUUAACACUCUUUGCAUGUCUUGCCAAAACCAUGGCUACCUGCUGAUGUACAAGAUAAAGUCAACUCUGAGUUUUAGGAGAUUUAAGAAUGUGGACUAGUAAGAAGAGCAGUAGUUCUGCUGCCAUCUACUUUGGUUUUUUUUUUUUUCCCCUGGGAGAAGAAAUAUUUAUCCCUUGGCCUCUUCUUUAAUGUAGGUAAAUCAUUUAGACUGUUGUGAUUCUUUUUUAAGUAGUUAAUUUACAAUGUUCUGUGAAUGUCUGCUGUGCAAAGUGACCCAGUUACACACAUAAACACAUUCUUUUUCUCACGUUAUCCUCCAUCAUGUUCCAUCACAAGGGAUUAGACGGAGUUCCCUGUGCUAUACAGCAGGAUCUCAUUGCUUAUCCACUCCAAAUGCCACAGUGAUUUUUAAUCUUUACCCUUUGGAUUGGAUUCCUAAGGAUGAAACAUUUGUAGAAUUCCCGAAGAAAACUCUCGUGGUAGUGCAAAGUUUAAAAUACAAUUAAAAGAGAUCAGGUGCUGUCAGAAGCAGUCUUGCAGACGAGGCUGGCCAUGUUAAUUGCUGCAUCUUUUAAUAUGUCAACAAACAUGGGUGGAGUCUCCAGAAGGGCCAGGCUCAUCCCUACCUCCCCUCACAGUCCAGUCUACCCUCCUGGACUCCACCGACCAGUGGGGGCAUCGGCCAGUGUAGACUGCCCCCUUCUCCAUCAGCACGGCACUCCCGGCUGUCACAGUGCUGCCGGAACGAGUUUGGUAAGACGCUGGCUCCAGUCCCUUGGCCUCAUCUGACCCUUGUCCUCCUGCCAUAUCACUCAUCUCCUGGAAAGGAACAUAUUCCCAAGCCUCUUCCCCAUCAGUAGUAGGAAGGGAAUUUCAAGUCCCUGAGUGUUAAGUGAUGUGGGUAGAGAAAAAGGUCCAGCCUGGCUUCCUCAGGCGGGAGAUGAGAGGGAGCGGUAGGCAAACACAAUGCUAUACUUUCACUUUGCCAAAUUCCCAUCCUUUUUUGGCCUGAGGCAACACCAGAAGAGAAAGCCAAGAGGAGGUGGGAGGAUGAGUGGAAAGGGCUCCUCCUCUUCCCCUGUGCUUCCUGUCUGUAAACACAUCUGCACCACCCUUCCCCACGCAGGGCGCCUGGGGAGAUGCACGGGCUCGCCUGCCGGCAGGGGCCCGCCACCCACACCAGGCACUUCCGUACGCCCCGGGAAGCUGGGCACGGAGAGUUGUCAGGGUGGAUCCAGGCAGCCCAACGGAUGACAGUGCCCUUUCCAUUAACAGCCAGAGUUCUUGGGCUGCUUCCCAGAGGUGAGCAGGGAAAGGACAUCAAAACAUUUUUGUCUUUGCCCUCUCCUAGCACCACACUCUUACCCUUGCCCUAGAUGCUGCGGCCCACAGGAGUGAACGAGGAGGGCCUGGCCGGGGGGUGAGCCAUUCUACCUGCGGGAAUGAAGGCAGGCCCCAGAGCAGGGAGGCCGUGGAGCAGAAACCCCAGCUCACAGACCCAAGGCCAGAGCAGAGGCUGUAAUUAAACAUAAACUUGCCAGCAGCUCUCUCUUAACACAUGAAGCCAAAAGUUAAAACGUCUAAUGGUCUGGGGCCCAUGCCAAGCCCCAGCCCAGGGCCCUCCCCACAGAGACUAAUGCAAAGGAGUGAGGUGUGGCAGGGGCCAGACAACCAGGUGGCUGCAGGGAGCCCCUCUUCCAGGCUUCUGUGACGUGCUAACCACCAUCAGUGGUGCUUUGUUGAUGUAUCUGGCCCACCAGGAACAGUGUGGAGCCGACAGCCUUUGCUGGACUUCAUGUCUUUGGCUAAACAUGUGAGGUCCGUACUGCCGAACAAAGUGGCCACUAGACACACGUGGCUCACGGGCACUUGAAAUGUGGCCAAUCCCAGCCGAGAAGUGCUGAGCACUUCAAAGGCACAGAGGAUUACAUGAGCAUGAAAGUAGAUUACAUGAAAGUGGACUAUCUCAAUUUUUUUUAAUCUCCAUUACCUAUUAAAAUCAUAAGAGGUUGGCUACAUUGGUUAAGUAAACUGUAUGGUUAAAGUUCAUUUCACUUGGUUUUCUGUUUCCUAACAUGGCCUCUAGAACAUUUCAAAUCACACUUUACAUGUACAUAUAUACAAACACACGUGCGUCGUAUUUCACUUGGACGGCAUGGCUCUGGGUACGCCAUUAAUGCUGCUGAAGGAAUGAAUGCUGACUGAAGAGACAGCAUUCAAUAGUCCAUAGAAAUGGUUAAAAAAGGAGCAAGCCAUCACUCUUCUCUGAAGUAACGUUUGUAGCUGGAGCUACAUUUCAUUCUGAGUCACUUGCUAUGAGAAAAUGCUUACUAAUCACUCAGGACUCCAAAAGAAUGAGAGGGCGACAGACUGUCGGCCAGGCCACACCACCAAGGCCAAACAACCUUCGGUCCUAUGGUGGAGACUCCACAGAGCACAGGACCAAGCACACACACACACUGCAAGAAACUGCCAAAUGGAAAGAAAACAACCCAUCUGAGAACCCCACAGUUUUCCAAACUUCUCUUCACUCUAAACCUAACUCUGUUCUCAGCCCAACCCUUUGCUGUUCAAAUAUUCUUUAAGACUGUUUUAAGACAAUUCACUGCAAAUUAAAAGCACUAUGAGGUAUCAGCUCACACACACAUCAGGAUAGCUACUAUAAAAAACAAGAAUAAUAAGAUAAAAAGUAUUGGUGAGGCUGUUGAGGCAUUAGAACCUUUGUGCACUGUGGGUAGAAAUGUAAAAUGGUGCAGCUGCUUUGGAAAAAAAGUAUGGAGGUGCCUCAAAACAUGAAAACUAAAACUGCUAUAUGAUCCAGCAAUUCCAUUUCCAGGUAUGCAUCCAAAGGCACUGAAAGCAGGAUCUCUAGCAGAUCCUUGCAUGCCCAUUGGUCAUGGCACCAUUAAUUACAACAUCUAAGAGGUGGAGGAAACCCACGUGUCCAUCAACAGAUGAAUGGAUAAACAAAACGGGGUGUGUACCUACUCUGGAAAAUUAUUCAACCUUCAAAGAAGGCAAACCUGCCCAAUGCUAGGAAAUGAGUGAAUCCAGGGGUCAUUGUGUGAAGUGAAACAAGCCAGUCACAAAAGGACAGAUAUUGUGUGAUUUCACUUAUGACCUCUCUAAAGUAGUCAGUCAAGCCUAUAGAAACAGAAAUUAGAAUAGUGAGUGCCAGAGGCUGGAGGGAGGGGAGACUGGGCAGUUGUUGUUUAGUGGGUACAGAAUUUCAGUUUUGCAAGAUAAAAAAGUUCACAGAUCUGUUACUCAACAAUGUAAAUAUUAACAGAACUGUACACGUAAAAAUGGUUAAGAUGCUAAGUUUUAUGGGUUUUUUUUUUUACAAUAAAAAAUGACCAAAACAUGCAGCAUGAUCAAUUUUAGUGCUGCGGAAAAGUCCACAAUGGAGACUCUGACCCAGUACAACAUCUCAGCAUCUUUUGUUUUCAUAAAAGGAGUUCCCCGGUGGUACAGUCGGUUAAAGAUCCAGCAUUGUCACUGCAGUGUUGUGGGUUCAAUCCCUGGCCAGGAAUGUCCACAUGCUUCGGGUUCAGCCAAAAAAAAAAAAGAAAGAAAAAA
RNAcentral lists this long non-coding RNA (6131 nucleotides) under Sus scrofa (pig). RNAcentral describes it as "lncRNA (ENSSSCG00030012863.1)". Lineage: Eukaryota; Metazoa; Chordata; Mammalia; Artiodactyla; Suidae. The record is from RNAcentral.